CCUACGGGAGGCAGCAGUGGGGAAUAUUGCACAAUGGGGGAAACCCUGAUGCAGCGACGCCGCGUGAGUGAAGAAAGUAUUUCGGUAUGUAAAGCUUCUAUCAGCCAGGGAAAGAAAAAUGACGGUACCUGACUAAGAAAGCCCCGGCUAACUACGUGCCNGCNAGCCGCGGUAAUA
RNAcentral lists this ribosomal RNA (177 nucleotides) under uncultured bacterium. RNAcentral describes it as "partial 16S ribosomal RNA". It matches the Rfam family "Bacterial small subunit ribosomal RNA", at positions 338 to 525 of the family's 1533-position model. The record is from RNAcentral.